GGGCGCGGCGCCCCGGGAGCUAUGAGGCGCCUCGGCCUCGCCGCCGCCGCCGUUCCCCCGCCGUCCGCCGCUUUCUCCGCCGCCUCCCGCGACUGCGAGGAGAGGUUGGAGGCCGGCUCGGCGCUGAAGUCCUGCAGGAUCCGCAGCGGAUCACAACAAAUAGGGAAAACUGGUUCUUGAAGAGAAACUGGCAUCUGACGCUAGCUCGGAUUAAAUAAUAACAAUAAUAAAAAAAAAAAAA
Long non-coding RNA from Cygnus atratus (black swan), 241 nucleotides. RefSeq lists it as uncharacterized. The transcript has 2 exons. Lineage: Eukaryota; Metazoa; Chordata; Aves; Anseriformes; Anatidae. The record is from RefSeq and is a predicted model, not a curated record.